Molecule: ribosomal RNA, 301 nt
Filed under: uncultured bacterium
Lineage: Bacteria
Description: partial 16S ribosomal RNA
Rfam family: Bacterial small subunit ribosomal RNA
Source: RNAcentral
CAGUCGCCACGGUAAUACAGAGGGUGCGAGCGUUAAUCGGAUUUACUGGGCGUAAAGCGUGCGUAGGCGGCUUCUUAAGUCGGAUGUGAAAUCCCUGAGCUUAACUUAGGAAUUGCAUUCGAUACUGGGAAGCUAGAGUAUGGGAGAGGAUGGUAGAAUUCCAGGUGUAGCGGUGAAAUGCGUAGAGAUCUGAAGGAAUACCGAUGGCGAAGGCAGCCAUCUGGCCUAAUACUGACGCUGAGGUACGAAAGCAUGGGGAGCAAACAGGAUUAGAUACCCCUGUAGUCCCUGUCUCUUAUAC